This 525-nucleotide ribosomal RNA is filed under the name uncultured bacterium. RNAcentral's name for it is "bacterial SSU rRNA". It matches the Rfam family "Bacterial small subunit ribosomal RNA", at positions 777 to 1300 of the family's 1533-position model. The record is from RNAcentral.
AAUAGAUACCCCGGUAGUCCAUGCCGUAAACGUUGGGAACUAGAUGUAGGGCCUGUUCCACGGGUUCUGUGUCGUAGCUAACGCAUUAAGUUCCCCGCCUGGGGAGUACGGCCGCAAGGCUAAAACUCAAAGGAAUUGACGGGGGCCCGCACAAGCGGCGGAGCAUGCGGAUUAAUUCGAUGCAACGCGAAGAACCUUACCAAGGCUUGACAUGUAGAAGAACACUGCAGAGAUGCAGGACUCUUUGGACACUUCUAUACAGGUGGUGCAUGGUUGUCGUCAGCUCGUGUCGUGAGAUGUUCGGUUAAGUCCGGCAACGAGCGCAACCCUCGUCCUAUGUUGCCAGCACGUUAUGGUGGGAACUCAUGGGAUACUGCCGUGGUCAACACGGAGGAAGGUGGGGAUGACGUCAAAUCAUCAUGCCCCUUAUGUCUUGGGCUUCACGCAUGCUACAAUGGCCGGUACAAAGAGCAGCGAUACCGUGAGGUGGAGCGAAUCUCAAAAAGCCGGUCUCAGUUCGGAGUU